ACACAAAUCACCUGCAGAUCUUGCUAAAAUGCAGAUCUGAAGCUAUAAGUCUGAAGCUCGGCCUAGAAUUCUGCAUGUCUAUCAAGUACCCAGGUGAUAAGCCU
RNAcentral lists this microRNA precursor (104 nucleotides) under Marmota monax (woodchuck). Lineage: Eukaryota; Metazoa; Chordata; Mammalia; Rodentia; Sciuridae. The record is from RNAcentral.